AUAAAAAUGGAGCAACCCAAUUGCACUUGGCAGCCCGACAAGGAUGGCCGGGGUGCGUUCAUAUGUUGUUAGACAGUGGGGCUCUUGUUUGUGCAUCUUCUAGAGGAUAUGGGUAAAACUCUCUUAUUGAAGGUUUUCUAGUUUCGUGGGGGUUCAUUGGAUUGUGUUCGGGAAUUACUUGCUUGGGGGGCUGAUAGACUUCAUAGAGAUUCAUCUGGGAGGAUACCUUACAUGGUUGCUUUGAGG
Molecule: non-coding RNA, 246 nt
Organism: Camellia sinensis
Lineage: Eukaryota; Viridiplantae; Streptophyta; Magnoliopsida; Ericales; Theaceae
Source: RefSeq, a predicted model, not a curated record